GGCUCAGUAACACGUGGAUAACUUGCCCUUGGGUCUGGGAUAACCCUGAGAAAUUGGGGACAAUACCAGAUAGGGCAUCGAAGCUGGAAUGCACGAUGUCCAAAAGCUGAGGCGCCCAAGGAUAGGUCUGCGGCCGAUUAGGUUGUUGUUGAUGUAAUGGACCAACAAGCCUGCAAUCGGUACGGGUUGUGAGAGCAAGAGCCCGGAGAUGGGUUCUGAGAAAAGAACCCAGGUCCUACGGGACGCAUCAGGCGCGAAAACUUUACAAUGUGCGAAAGCACGAUAAGGGAACUCUGAGUGCCUCCUAUGGACUGUUCAGGUGUCUAAAAAGCACUUGAAGUAAGGGCUGGGUAAGACCGGUGCCACCGCCGCGGUAACACCGGCAGCCCAAGUGGUAGCCACGAUUAUUGGUCUAAWKCGUCCGKAGCCGGCCAGGUAAGUCCUKGGAAAUUUWUGSHAAGGGAACNUUCAGGGAUWCUKCCUGCCUGGACCGGGAGADGUCAGAGUGUACYYAAGGGUAGGGGUGAAAUCCGGUAAUCCUUGAGGGACCACCAGUAGCGAAGGCGUCUGACAGACCGGGUCCGACGGUGAKGGACGAAUGGCUAUGGG
Molecule: ribosomal RNA, 609 nt
Filed under: uncultured archaeon
Lineage: Archaea
Description: partial 16S ribosomal RNA
Rfam family: Archaeal small subunit ribosomal RNA
Source: RNAcentral